AUGACAGUAUGUUCACACCAUACCUGCCCACUCACUCACUCACUCACUCACAAACUCACUCAGUCACUCACUCACAAACUCACUCAGUCAGCCAGUCACUCACAAACUCACUCAGUCAGCCAGUCACUCACUCACUUACUCAGCCAGUUACUCACUCAGUCAGCCAGUCACUCACUCACUCACAAACUCACUCAGUCAGCCAGUCACUCACUCACUCAGUCACUCACUCACUCACUUAGUCAGCCAGUCACUUACUCACAAACUCACUCACUCAAUAACAAACUCACUCACUUAGUCAGCCAGUCACUCAUAAACUCACUCAGUCACUCACUUAGUCAGUCAGCCAGUCACUUACAAACUCAGUCAGUCACUCACUCACUCAAUCACAAACUCACUCACUCACCUAGUCAGCCAGCCAGUCACUCAGUCACUCACUUAGUCAGUCAGCCAGUCACUCACUCACUCACAGACUCACUCAGUCACAAACUCACUCAGUCAGCCAGUCACUUACUCACAAACUCAGUCAGUCACUCACUCACUCAAUCACAAACUCACUCACCUAGUCAGUCAGCCAGUCACUCACUCACUCAGUCAGUCACUCACUCAGUCAGUCAGCCAGUCACUCACAAACUCACUCAGUCAGUCACUCACUCACAAACUCACUCACAAACUCACUCACUCAGUCAGCUAGUCACUUACUCACAAACUCAGUCAGUCACUCACUCACUCACUCACUCACUUAGUCAGUCAGCCAGUCACUCACUCUCUCCAUCACUCACUCACUCACUCACUCACUCACUCACUCACUCACUCACUUCGUCAGUCAGCCAGUCACUCACUCCCUCCCUCACUCACUCAUCACUCAGUCACUCACUCACUCACUCACUCACUCACUCACUCACUCACUCACUCACUCAGUCAGUCAGUCACUCACUCACUCACUCACUUAGUCAGUCAGCCAGUCACUCACUCCCUCCCUCCCUCCCUCACUCAGUCAGCCAGUCACUCACUCACUCACUCACUCACUUAGUCAGUCAGCCAGUCACUCCCUCCCUCCCUCACUCACUCACUCACUCAGUCACUCAGUCAGUCACUCACUCAUCACUUAUUCACUCACUCACUCACUUACUCACUCACUCACUCACUCACUCACUCACUCACUUAGUCAGUCAGCCAGUCACUCACUCACUCACUUAG
Molecule: long non-coding RNA, 1197 nt
Organism: Cyprinus carpio (common carp)
Lineage: Eukaryota; Metazoa; Chordata; Actinopteri; Cypriniformes; Cyprinidae
Source: Ensembl